This 72-nucleotide transfer RNA is filed under the name human gut metagenome. It matches the Rfam family "tRNA". From Rfam's summary of the family: Transfer RNA (tRNA) molecules are approximately 80 nucleotides in length. Their secondary structure includes four short double-helical elements and three loops (D, anti-codon, and T loops). RNAcentral also lists the same sequence under 1 other name. The record is from RNAcentral.
GAAGCAUAGCUCAGCUGGUUAGAGCGCCUGCUUCACACGCAGGAGGUCGCUGGUUCGAGUCCAGUUGUUUCC